This is an RNA transcript of Sapajus apella (tufted capuchin), 1567 nucleotides long. RefSeq lists it as uncharacterized. NCBI's taxonomy places the organism in Eukaryota, Metazoa, Chordata, Mammalia, Primates, Cebidae. The record is from RefSeq and is a predicted model, not a curated record. The transcript has a single exon.
ACUCCUGGGUCUCGGGGUCAGGGAGGGGACGGGGGCACCCACCUCCUGUCUGUGAUGGCAUGUUGUUCCCCACUCUGGGAUGGGGAAGAGGCCUGUCGGGAGUUCUGCAUGGCGGUCCACUGCAUGUGCUGCCCCCUUGGGUUGCUCUGCCAAUGUAUUACUACCAUCCCAUAGCUCCUGCCGAAUUGAGACCCUCUGACGACUUGCCGACUAACUGGCCACCACGAGCUGCAGUCUGUAGCACUGAACAAACAAAAAAAACGCUCAAGCCUUACGACCAGAGAAGGAUUUCAGCAAACCACCACCUCCCACUCAAUGUCCCCUCCAAACUUCACACUUCCCUGCCUGCUGAGGAUGACUCUGUUCACACCCCACCCAGCGCGGUUCUACCCCACGAAACUGUGACUUCCCAAACGAGCCUUUCCCUAGGGGUACACCUAAGACCAGGAAGUUGGAGAAAGCAGCCGCAGCUCAAUACUCUUCCAGCUCUGCCCGGGUUGGGAAGUCCUUAGGUGCAGUGCGGCUCCCACUGGGUCCCUGGAGCCUCCGAUUAGAGUAUGAAAUUCCUGGCAACUGGUAUAGAAUCGACCUAGAGGCUUUGCAGUUGGCAAGCUAACUUGCGGCCUUAUUUCUGCCUUUAAUCUCCCACAAGGCGUCUGUUGCUUUGGGUCCUCCAUGACUCUUAGGCCCGCCUCAAAAACCCAGGCAACCUCCUAGGUAGGCUCAAAGGUAGACCCAUUUCCACCGCAGCAGGUGAACACGACCGUGUUUUCAAUCGUGUGUCCACAGUUCAGAUCCCUUUCCCGAUUGCAGCCUGGCCUGCAUCCCGGCUCCUUCCUGCUCGUGUCUUAACCUAAGUGCUUUCUUGUUUGAAACGCCUACAAACCUCCAUGUUCCUAGGUCCUCUGGCAAAUGCCCUGCUGUUGCGUUUUAUGUGUUGCUUGGACUCUGUGGGGUCAUCCUCCCUCCCCUCCCGUCCCCAGGGCAGAUUUGAUUGAAUGUUUGCUGAAGUUUUUGUCUCUUGGUCCACAGUAUUUGGAAAGGUCACUGAAAAUUGGUCUUUCAGUCUUGGCAUUUCAUUUAGGAUCUUCAUGAGAAAUGGGCUUCUUGAGGCCUGAAAGUGUAUAUUGUGUGUCUCAUCUGUGAACUGCUUCCUGCUAUAUAGAACUAGCUCAAAAGACUGUACAUAUUUACAAGAAACUUUAUAUUCGUAAAAAAAAAAAAGAGGAAAUUGAAUUGGUUUCUACUUUUUUAUUGUACAAGGUGCAUUUUUCAACACUUACUUUUGGUUUCAAUGGUGGUAGUUGUGGACAGCCAUCUUCACUGGAGGGUGGGGAGCCUCGUGUGACCACCAGGAUGCCAGCAGGAAAUAUCGUAAAACAAAAUUGCAGUCAAAAGCUUAUUAGCAUCAAUCAAGAUUCUAGGUCUCCAAAAGUACAGGCUUUUUCUUCAUUACCUUUUUUAUUCAGAAGGAGGAAGAGAACACAAGGAAUGAUUCAAGAUCCACCUUGAGAGGAAUGAACUUUGUAGUUGAACAAUAGUGAAAUAAAGCAAUGAUCUAAAAGUA